RNAcentral lists this transfer RNA (69 nucleotides) under Pseudolebinthus lunipterus. RNAcentral's name for it is "Pseudolebinthus sp. 1 RN-2019 tRNA-Met". It matches the Rfam family "tRNA". Rfam says of the family: Transfer RNA (tRNA) molecules are approximately 80 nucleotides in length. Their secondary structure includes four short double-helical elements and three loops (D, anti-codon, and T loops). Lineage: Eukaryota; Metazoa; Arthropoda; Insecta; Orthoptera; Gryllidae. The record is from RNAcentral.
CAAAAAGAUAAGCUAAAUAAGCUAAUGGGCUCAUAUCCCAACUAUAAAGGUUAUAAUCCUUUUCUUUUU